Molecule: long non-coding RNA, 662 nt
Filed under: Homo sapiens (human)
Lineage: Eukaryota; Metazoa; Chordata; Mammalia; Primates; Hominidae
Description: non-protein coding lnc-CBY3-3:3
Source: RNAcentral
AUUGGUUUCCUGCACAGCACCCGCUGAAGGCAGGCCCUUCCGGCUACCCCGAGAAAAGGGGAAUCUGGCAGGCGAGUGCGGCGCAGCUGGCCAGUCCCUGUCGCCCGCCUGGCAGUACAGAGACCUUUUUUUUAAAUUAUUUUUUAAAUUUCGACUUUGAUAAACUCUAAGUAGCCACGCUAUUUUAAUGUCAGCCGUUUUACUUUGACCUUAUUCCUUGUAUCCAGCCCCAUAAUUGGUCAGAAUCGUCUAGUGAGCUGGUAGUUUCCUCUUGCAACAUUCCGAAUCACUGGUAGUUUCCACCUAUUUGUAAAAGCCCGAGCAAGUUUCAAAAGUGCAGUAUUACUCACUACUUAAAAAAAAAGUCCAGAAGAUGUGAGCAAAAGCAUGCAAGAGUGCAGCUCCAUUAGAGGGAACUGGAAAUGCAAAGGACGACGUUUCACCACAACCACCGCCUUCCAGGCUCAAGCGAUUCUCCUGCCUCAGCCUCUCCAGUAGCUGGGAUUACAGGCAUGCGCCACCACGCGCGGCUAAUUUUGUAUUUUUAGUAGAGACGGGGUGUCUCCAUGUCGGUCAGGCUGGUCUCCCACUCCUGACCUCAGGUGAUCCGCCCACCUCGGCCUGCCAAAGUACCGCGAUUACAGGCGUGAGCCGCCGCGCCG